CCUACGGGGUGCUGCAGUGGGGAAUAUUGGACAAUGGGCGAAAGCCUGAUCCAGCCAUGCCGCGUGUGUGAAGAAGGCCUUCGGGUUGUAAAGCACUUUCAGUGGGGAAGAAAGCCUUGGGGCUAAUACCCUCGAGGAAGGACAUCACCCACAGAAGAAGCACCGGCUAACUCCGUGCCAGCAGCCGCGGUAAUACGGAGGGUGGCGAGCGUUAAUCGGAAUUACUGGGCGUAAAGCGCGCGUAGGCGGUCUGAUAAGCCGGUUGUGAAAGCCCCGGGCUCAACCUGGGAACGGCAUCCGGAACUGUCAGGCUAGAGUGCAGGAGAGGAAGGUAGAAUUCCCGGUGUAGCGGUGAAAUGCGUAGAGAUCGGGAGGAAUACCAGUGGCGAAGGCGGCCUUCUGGACUGACACUGACGCUGAGGUGCGAAAGCGUGGGUAGCAAACAGGAUUAGAUACCCGAGUAGUC
RNAcentral lists this ribosomal RNA (466 nucleotides) under Vreelandella stevensii. RNAcentral's name for it is "partial 16S ribosomal RNA". It matches the Rfam family "Bacterial small subunit ribosomal RNA", at positions 338 to 795 of the family's 1533-position model. The record is from RNAcentral. Lineage: Bacteria; Pseudomonadati; Pseudomonadota; Gammaproteobacteria; Oceanospirillales; Halomonadaceae.